RNAcentral lists this long non-coding RNA (387 nucleotides) under Parus major (Great Tit). RNAcentral's name for it is "lncRNA (ENSPMJG00000007217.1)". Lineage: Eukaryota; Metazoa; Chordata; Aves; Passeriformes; Paridae. The record is from RNAcentral.
AAAGAAAUUUACAAAGGCUUCUCUUUUUUUUCUUUUUGUGUGGUUUUUUUUUGUUGUUUUCUGCUUUUCUUUGUUUGUUGUUCUUGGUUUUGUUGUUUUUUUUUUUUUGUGGGUUUUGUUUGUUUGUGGUUUUGUUGUUUAUUCUUUUAGCAACCGUGGCGGGUGGUGUGGGUGGAUCCUGGGGUGGAUCCUGGGGUGGAUUCUGGGGUGGAUCCCAGCGAUGGAUUCCUGGGAUGGAUUCUGGGGUGGAUCCCUGGAAUGGAUCCUGGGGUGGAUUUUGGGAUGGAUUCCUGGGAUGGAUUCCUGGGGUGGAUUCCUGGGGUGGAUUCCUGGAAUGGAUCCCUGGGAUGGAUCCCAGCGAUGGAUCCUGGGGUGGAUUCUGGGAUG